This 555-nucleotide ribosomal RNA is filed under the name uncultured bacterium. RNAcentral's name for it is "bacterial SSU rRNA". It matches the Rfam family "Bacterial small subunit ribosomal RNA", at positions 8 to 587 of the family's 1533-position model. The record is from RNAcentral.
AGAGUUUGAUCAUGGCUCAGGAUGAACGCUAGCGGGAGGCUUAAUACAUGCAAGUCGAGCGAGAAGGUGGCUUCGGUCACUGGGGAGCGGCGCACGGGUGAGUAACGCGUACAUGACCUACCUUUAAGACUGGGAUAGCCCUGGGAAACUGGGAUUAAUACCGGAUGUGGUAAUAGUUAUAGAAGAUUAUUAUUAAAGCUGAGGUGCUUAGAGAUGGGUGUGCGUCUGAUUAGCUAGUUGGUAGGGUAAGGGCCUACCAAGGCGACGAUCAGUAGGGGGCGUGAGAGCGUGAUCCCCCACACGGGUACUGAGAUACGGGCCCCACUCCUACGGGAGGCAGCAGUUAGGAAUUUUCGACAAUGGGGGAACCCUGAUCGAGCGACACUGCGUGAGGGAUGAAGGCCUUAGGGUUGUAAACUUCUAAUAGAGGGACGAUGGUGACGGUACCUCUUGAUUAGCACCAGCUAACUCCGUGCCAGCAGCCGCGGUAAUACGGAGGGUGCGAGCGUUAUCCGGAAUCACUGGGCGUAAAGGGCGCGUAGGCGGUUUGUUAAG